This 665-nucleotide ribosomal RNA is filed under the name uncultured bacterium. RNAcentral describes it as "bacterial SSU rRNA". It matches the Rfam family "Bacterial small subunit ribosomal RNA", at positions 8 to 683 of the family's 1533-position model. The record is from RNAcentral.
AGAGUUUGAUCCUGGCUCAGGAUGAACGCUAGCGGCAGGCCUAAUACAUGCAAGUCGAACGGUGUAGCAAUACAUAGUGGCGCACGGGUGCGUAACACGUAUGCAACCUACCUUAUACUGGGGGAUAGCCUUUGGAAACGGAGAUUAAUACCCCAUAGUACAUUUGAUUGGCAUCAAUUAAAUGUUAAAGAUUUAUCGGUAUAAGCUGGGCAUGCGUCCAAUUAGUUAGUUGGUGAGGUAAUGGCUCACCAAGACUUUGAUUGGUAGGGGAACUGAGAGGUUAAUCCCCCACACUGGCACUGAGAUACGGGCCAGACUCCUACGGGAGGCAGCAGUAGGGAAUAUUGGGCAAUGGAGGCAACUCUGACCCAGCCAUGCCGCGUGCAGGAAGAAGGCGUUAUGCGUUGUAAACUGCUUUUAUAUAGGAAGAAAUAGUCCUUGCGAGGAAAGUUGACGGUACUAUAUGAAUAAGCACCGGCUAACUCCGUGCCAGCAGCCGCGGUAAUACGGAGGGUGCAAGCGUUGUCCGGAUUUAUUGGGUUUAAAGGGUGCGUAGGCGGUUUAUUAAGUCAGUGGUGAAAGACGGUCGCUCAACGAUUGCAGUGCCAUUGAUACUGGUAGACUUGAGUGGGAUUGAGGUAGCUGGAAUGGAUAGUGUAGCGGUG